GACGAACGCUGGCGGCGUGCUUAACACAUGCAAGUCGAACGGAAAGGCCCUGCUUUUGUGGGGUGCUCGAGUGGCGAACGGGUGAGUAACACGUGAGUAACCUGCCCUUGACUUUGGGAUAACUUCAGGAAACUGGGGCUAAUACCGGAUAUGAGCUCCUGCUGCAUGGUGGGGGUUGGAAAGUUUCGGCGGUUGGGGAUGGACUCGCGGCUUAUCAGCUUGUUGGUGGGGUAGUGGCUUACCAAGGCUUUGACGGGUAGCCGGCCUGAGAGGGUGACCGGCCACAUUGGGACUGAGAUACGGCCCAGACUCCUACGGGAGGCAGCAGUGGGGAAUAUUGCACAAUGGGCGGAAGCCUGAUGUAGCAACGCCGCGUGCGGGAUGACGGCCUUCGGGUUGUAAACCGCUUUCGCCUGUGACGAAGCGUGAGUGACGGUAAUGGGUAAAGAAGCACCGGCUAACUACGUG
RNAcentral lists this ribosomal RNA (468 nucleotides) under uncultured bacterium. Its description in RNAcentral is "partial 16S ribosomal RNA". It matches the Rfam family "Bacterial small subunit ribosomal RNA", at positions 28 to 507 of the family's 1533-position model. The record is from RNAcentral.